RNAcentral lists this ribosomal RNA (484 nucleotides) under uncultured bacterium. Its description in RNAcentral is "partial 16S ribosomal RNA". It matches the Rfam family "Bacterial small subunit ribosomal RNA", at positions 30 to 507 of the family's 1533-position model. The record is from RNAcentral.
AUUGAACGCUGGCGGCAUGCCUAACACAUGCAAGUCGAGCGGAUGAAGGGAGCUUUCUCCUGGAUUCAGCGGCGGACGGGUGAGUAAUUCCUAGGAAUCUGCCUUGUAGUUGGGGAUAACGUCCGUAAACGGGCGCUAAUACCGCAUCCGUCCUGAUGGAGAAAGUGGGGGAUCUUCGGACCUCACGCUAUCUGAUGAGCCUAGGUCGGAUUAGCUAGUUGGUGGGGUAAAGGCGUACCAAGGCGACGAUCCGUAACUGGUCUGAGAGGAUGAUCAGUCACACUGGAACUGAGACACGGUCCAGACUCCUACGGGAGGCAGCAGUGGGGAAUAUUGGACAAUGGGCGAAAGCCUGAUCGAGCAAUGCCGCGUGUGUGAAGAAGGUCUUCGGAUUGUAAGGCACUUUAAGUUGGGAGGAAGGGCAGUAAGUUUAUACCUGGCUGUUUUGACGGUACCAAAAGAAUAAGCACCGGCUAACUUCGUG